This 1045-nucleotide ribosomal RNA is filed under the name Nostoc sp. CALU 546. Its description in RNAcentral is "bacterial SSU rRNA". It matches the Rfam family "Bacterial small subunit ribosomal RNA", at positions 376 to 1436 of the family's 1533-position model. Lineage: Bacteria; Bacillati; Cyanobacteriota; Cyanophyceae; Nostocales; Nostocaceae. The record is from RNAcentral.
CGAAAGCCUGACGGAGCAAUACCGCGUGAGGGAGGAAGGCUCUUGGGUCGUAAACCUCUUUUCUCAGGGAAGAACACAAUGACGGUACCUGAGGAAUAAGCAUCGGCUAACUCCGUGCCAGCAGCCGCGGUAAUACGGAGGAUGCAAGCGUUAUCCGGAAUGAUUGGGCGUAAAGCGUCCGCAGGUGGCUAUGUAAGUCUGCUGUUAAAGAGUCUAGCUCAACUAGAUAAGAGCAGUGGAAACUACAUGGCUAGAGUGCGUUCGGGGCAGAGGGAAUUCCUGGUGUAGCGGUGAAAUGCGUAGAGAUCAGGAAGAACACCGGUGGCGAAGGCGCUCUGCUAGGCCGCAACUGACACUGAGGGACGAAAGCUAGGGGAGCGAAUGGGAUUAGAUACCCCAGUAGUCCUAGCCGUAAACGAUGGAUACUAGGCGUGGCUUGUAUCGACCCGAGCCGUGCCGUAGCUAACGCGUUAAGUAUCCCGCCUGGGGAGUACGCCGGCAACGGUGAAACUCAAAGGAAUUGACGGGGGCCCGCACAAGCGGUGGAGUAUGUGGUUUAAUUCGAUGCAACGCGAAGAACCUUACCAAGGCUUGACAUGUCGCGAAUCCUGGUGAAAGCCGGGAGUGCCUUCGGGAGCGCGAACACAGGUGGUGCAUGGCUGUCGUCAGCUCGUGUCGUGAGAUGUUGGGUUAAGUCCCGCAACGAGCGCAACCCUCGUUUUUAGUUGCCAGCAUUAAGUUGGGCACUCUAGAGAGACUGCCGGUGACAAACCGGAGGAAGGUGGGGAUGACGUCAAGUCAGCAUGCCCCUUACGCCUUGGGCUACACACGUACUACAAUGCUCCGGACAGAGGGCAGCAAGCAUGCGAAUGCAAGCAAAUCCCGUAAACCGGAGCUCAGUUCAGAUCGCAGGCUGCAACUCGCCUGCGUGAAGGAGGAAUCGCUAGUAAUUGCAGGUCAGCAUACUGCAGUGAAUUCGUUCCCGGGCCUUGUACACACCGCCCGUCACACCAUGGAAGCUGGUAGUGCCCGAAGUCAUUACUCC